CAGCAGCCGCGGUAAUACGAAGGGGGCUAGCGUUGCUCGGAAUUACUGGGCGUAAAGGGCGCGUAGGCGGUUUGGCAAGUUUGGUGUGAAAUCUUCGGGCUCAACUCGAAGUCUGCAUCGAAAACUGCCGGGCUUGAGUAUGGGAGAGGUGAGUGGAAUUUCCGGUGUAGCGGUGAAAUGCGUAGAUAUUGGAAGGAACACCUGUGGCGAAAGCGGCUCACUGGACCAUAACUGACGCUGAUGCACGAAAGCUAGGGGAGCAAACAGGAUUAGAUACCCCCGUAGUCCCUGUCUCUUAUAC
Molecule: ribosomal RNA, 301 nt
Filed under: uncultured bacterium
Lineage: Bacteria
Description: partial 16S ribosomal RNA
Rfam family: Bacterial small subunit ribosomal RNA
Source: RNAcentral